Molecule: long non-coding RNA, 935 nt
Organism: Lagenorhynchus albirostris (white-beaked dolphin)
Lineage: Eukaryota; Metazoa; Chordata; Mammalia; Artiodactyla; Delphinidae
Exons: 5
Source: RefSeq, a predicted model, not a curated record
GGCACAAAGGAUUUGGUCUGAGACUGAGUUAGGACGGGGACGAAGAGUGGAGAGACCCGGCUGGAGGACGCUUCCUUCGGGUCCUCUUUCUGCCGGCCCCAUCGCCCCUCACCUGCGUGCGAGGGGCGACCUCGAGGCGGUAGGGGGCGCCGCCACCUCGGGCCAGCACCACCUGCGGGGCCAGGACCUCCUUCUCCGCCUGUAACCGGUGCCCGGCGGCCGCGGUCCGGGCCUUGUCCAGCAGCACGAGGUGGCGCCCUCGCACCCAAAGCCCCGACCCCUCCUCCAGCAACGGCUCCCCUACUCCGCGUGCAUCGUCUCUCAGCAGCCUUCUGUGCACCUGCGGGGAGAGUGGCCAGGAGAGGGAUCUCCCGGCCAUUGCUGUCAGUGUAGAAGAGUCCGUCUGUCUCCAGCACAGUGUCAAAGCGACUGAUGACCUCCUUCCCCCAGCCAUCACUAUACCCAAUGGGAUGGCAAGGUGCUCCAGGUGCCGCUGUCCCGGGUACAGACGAACCACCUGGGAACACCAGGCUGAGAAGUUCUGGUGCACUUCCUGCACCAAGGCUGUCUGCAAGUACAUGGGGGUGAAGGGCAGGUGUAAGCGUGCAGCUGAGCAGAGGGGACAUGGGUUCGAGCCCUGGUCCAGGAAGAUCCCACAUGCCACAGAGCAACUAAGCCCGUGUGCCACAACUACUGAGCCUGUGUUCUAGAGCCCGCAAGCCACAACUACUGAGCCCGAAUGCCACAACUACUGAAGCCCGCACGCCUAGAGUCCAUGCUCCACAACAAGAGAAGCCGCCACAAUGAGAAGCCUGCGCGCCGUAAUGAAGAGUAGCCCCCCCUCUCCGCAACUAGAGAAAAAGCCCGCACACAGCAAUGAAGACCCAAAGCAGCCAAAAAUUUUAAAAAAUUAAAAAAUAAAAAACAAUAGAAGA